CAAUAGCGUAUAUUAAAGUUGUUGCGGUUAAAAAGCUCGUAGUUGGAUUUCCGCUGAGAACGACCGGUCCGCCCUUUGGGUGUGUAUCUGGCUCUUUCUUGGCAUCUUCUUGGUGAACGUUGCUGCACUUGACUGUGUGGAGCGCUACCCAGGACUUUUACUUUGAGGAAAUUAGAGUGUUUCAAGCAGGCAUACGCCUUGAAUACAUUAGCAUGGAAUAAUAAGAUAGGACCUCGGUUCUAUUUUGUUGGUUUCUAGAGCUGAGGUAAUGAUUAAUAGGGAUAGUUGGGGGCAUUCGUAUUUAACUGUCAGAGGUGAAAUUCUUGGAUUUGUUAAGGACGGACUACUGCGAAAGCAUUUGCCAAGGAUGUUUUCAUUGA
Molecule: ribosomal RNA, 380 nt
Filed under: uncultured eukaryote
Lineage: Eukaryota
Description: partial 18S ribosomal RNA
Rfam family: Eukaryotic small subunit ribosomal RNA
Source: RNAcentral